Long non-coding RNA from Felis catus (domestic cat), 1888 nucleotides. RefSeq lists it as uncharacterized. The transcript has 5 exons. NCBI's taxonomy places the organism in Eukaryota, Metazoa, Chordata, Mammalia, Carnivora, Felidae. The record is from RefSeq and is a predicted model, not a curated record.
AAUGGGACCCUCCUAUGGGACACUUUCUCUUCUGUUGUAUGAUCACUGCUAUCAAAUCUGGACUGCUAUAAUCAGAUUAGCUUUUCUAAGAUCCGUCUUUAACAAAGCCGUCCUACUCAAGCCUCUCUUCUGUUGCCUGAUGGUUAUUAGCUUGAGCUUGAACCCUGGACCAGCAUUUCUCCGUAUGGAUUCUACCUCUCUUCUUUCAUUCCAGUGACAAUUCUCGUCCAAUCCAGUCUCCUGGCCAUCAAUAAACAUACUAUAGGGUGUGUGUGUGUGUGUGUGUGUGUGCACGUGCCCACUUGCACCCUUCUCCUCAAUUAGAUUCUAAAAUUACUUAAGAGUAGGAAAUGCUAUUAUGGAAAGAACAUGGGCUUUGCACUCAGACCUAGUGCUGAAACUAUUAUACAGCAUGGCAGUUAGGUAACCUGUCUGACCACCAGUUACCCCAGCUGUAAAGGAGAAGUGUCUCUCACACAGUGCUGGGCAUGUAAUAAAUGUUAGUUUCUUUUCUUCCUUUUGGGUCCUCUCCAGCACCCACUAGAAUGCUGAACACAGCAGGGUCUUGGCCAAACACACAAGAAGACUGCAAUCAUAUAAUCAAAGUAAUUCAUUUCAAAGUUGGUUCCUUAACUACAGCUAUUCUUUGAGGCCACAGGAAAUGAAGAAACCUUUCCUCUUUCGUUAGAAUCACAGCCUCUGGUUAACAUUUUAGAGAUUUCCUCUGUACUAUUACCAAGGCAAGAACUAGACUCUGGAUUUUUUUCAGCCAUUCAUCCUGUAUUUUUAUUUCUGGUAUCUCAGACUCAUCUUUCAUGCAGCCAGAACCUCAACACCAGCUCCUGAGGCUUAAUUUUCUUUUUGUUUUUAAAUCAGAAUUCCAUGCUGCUGUGCAAAUAGCCUGGCAGGAGAGAUCUGGUGUGUGAGGGUCUGAGUCCUCCAGCUGGAGAGUGAGGAGUUGUCCAGCUUCCUCCAGGCCUGCAGAGUGGACGUCUGGGGCCAGAUUGAUUUGCUGCUGCAGCUCUGUGCUUGAACACCUAUUCCGGUAAUUAAGCUGAAACCAUGGCAUGACUUGAUUUAGAGAGAUGGAUGUUAGCUGCUUAGAUCAGCACGUUCUAGGAACCUUCCAUGAAAUGAUUUUCCUACAAACCGCCAUCACUUUAAGAAACUCUCAGAGGUGAUAACCCUAAACACCUAUUUAACAACCAAGUCGUCACGAAGAUAGUACAAAUCAAGAAGAAAAAAAAAAGAGCACAGUUUCAGAGGGAAUAUUGGAUGCAAUUAAAGUUAUUGGUGAUUCACUUACCAUGGGGCAGGGAGAACCCAAGCACAAGGCAUUGCAAAGUGUAACAUAACACAGACAGCAAGACAAUCCAAGGAGGAUCCCAUUAAACGCUGGUAUAAUUGAAGAUCACUGAAGAAUCCAAUGUGACUUACAGGAAAGUAUAUGGGGAACAAGCAGAGUUCCGCCAGGACAUCCGCUCCAGGAUGAGGAGGGACAACAUGGAAAUGAAUGAAGCCAGUGCACUAGGUGGAGCAUUCAUGCAUCUGAAAGCCAGAUCUGAGGGAAAGUGUGACAUGAAAGCAAACAUGUGAUGUCAUAGAAGACAAAAAAUACUGAAGGGCAUCUUGUACUACAAAUGUCUUCUGUUCAGCUGAGCACCCCCUGAUAAAUCAUGGUGUGAGUUCAUCCUCAUAAAACUAUGUAAAUCUAAGAUUUAGGAUGAAUACUAAGAUUUCCAAGAGUGAUCAACAUUUAUUUUGCAAUGGAUGCUGCCAAUGGCCAGAUUUGUGCAAGAAUGAUGAAGAGACGAUCUGAGUCUGUUAGCCAUACAAUUUUUUAUUGUCAAGGUUCAUUUCUUUAGAAUACUUUCAUAAGAUACAUGAA